RNAcentral lists this ribosomal RNA (608 nucleotides) under uncultured archaeon. RNAcentral's name for it is "bacterial SSU rRNA". It matches the Rfam family "Archaeal small subunit ribosomal RNA", at positions 72 to 682 of the family's 1478-position model. The record is from RNAcentral.
GAAACCUUGGCGGACCGCUCAGUAACACGUGGAUAACCUACCUUUGGGACUGGAAUAACCCCGGGAAACUGGGGAUAAUACCGGAUAGAUCAGGGAUGCUGGAAUGCACCUUGAUCCAAAGCUCCGGCGCCCAAGGAUGGGUCUGCGGCCUAUCAGGUAGUAGUGGGUGUAACGUACCUACUAGCCAACGACGGGUACGGGUUGUGAGAGCAAGAGCCCGGAGAUGGAUUCUGAGACACGAAUCCAGGCCCUACGGGGUGCAGCAGGCGCGAAACCUUUACAAUGUGCGAAAGCAUGAUAAGGGAACUCCGAGUGCCAGUAUCUAAUACUGGCUGUCCUUGUGCCUAAAACGCACAAGAUAGCAAGGGCCGGGUAAGACCGGUGCCAGCCGCCGCGGUAACACCGGCGGCCCGAGUGGUAGCCGCUAUUAUUGGGUCUAAAGGGUCCGUAGCCGGUUCGAUAAGUCCUCUGGGAAAUCUGGUUGCUUAACAAUCAGACUGCCAAGGGAUACUGUCGAACUUGAGACCGGGAGAGGUAAGAGGUACUUUAGGGGUAGGAGUGAAAUCUUGUAAUCCCUGGGGGACCAUCUGUGGCGAAGCGUCUUACCA